Molecule: ribosomal RNA, 500 nt
Filed under: uncultured Pseudomonadota bacterium
Lineage: Bacteria; Pseudomonadati; Pseudomonadota
Description: bacterial SSU rRNA
Rfam family: Bacterial small subunit ribosomal RNA
Source: RNAcentral
UGGGGAAUAUUGGACAAUGGGGGAAACCCUGAUCCAGCAAUGCCGCGUGAGUGAAGAAGGCCUUAGGGUUGUAAAGCUCUUUCGCCCGCGACGAUGAUGACGGUAGCGGGAGAAGAAGCCCCGGCUAAUUCCGUGCCAGCAGCCGCGGUAAUACGGAAGGGGCGAGCGUUGUUCGGAAUUACUGGGCGUAAAGCGCGCGUAGGCGGCUUGGCAAGUGCGGCGUGAAAGUCCUGGGCUCAACCUGGGGACGGCGCUGCGGACUGCCUGGCUGGAGUCCGGAAGAGGGUGGUGGAAUUCCGAGUGUAGAGGUGAAAUUCGUAGAUAUUCGGAGGAACACCGGUGGCGAAGGCGGCCACCUGGUCCGGCACUGACGCUCAAGCGCGAAAGCGUGGGGAGCAAACAGGAUUAGAUACCCUGGUAGUCCACGCCGUAAACGAUGGGUGCUAGAUGUCGGGGGGCUUGCCCUUCGGUGUCGGAGCUAACGCGUUAAGCACCCGCCU